GUUAUGUAUAAUUAGAGUUUCAACAAAAUUAUCCAGGAUUUAAAAAAAAAAUCUUUUCAGUAAUUUCGUUUAAAAAUUUCAAAUAGCAUUAAAUACAACUUAUCAGGUUUUGAAUCAAAACCGGGUUUCGAGCCUUGGGGUCCGAAGCUCACUCAGUAGAAGGCUGUGUAGCACCUUCUCAGUUCAGGAAAGAACUUCGUGAGGUGGAGGAAAUCUCUUUCUCUCUCCCUCUCUCCUUUUCUCUCCUUCCCCCUGUCUGUCUCUAUUUCUCCCUGUCUCUCUCUGUCUCUCUGUCUGUCUCUGUCUCGUCUGUCUGUCUCUCUCUGUUUUUCUCUCUCUCUCCUCAAAUUCAUAGAAAAUGAUGGGCCAGCGGUAGUUAGCAGGUUUCAAACUGCACCAACUUGAGACUAUGACCCAGACGCUACUAUGUGGGUGCCUUUCUACUUGGGGGACACUUUCUGGCUUCAUGGUUGUUCCUGCCUGAAUUUUCAGACCCCCUCCACCUGGCUCAGAAAUACCCAGUGUGAGCAACUGUCUGUUUACUCUUCCCUUGCCCAACCUGGGCUCUCCAGAGUGCACACACAGGUGUCCCUGCCCAUCCAGGGUAGGGACAGUGACGUGCAUUGUGAGUUGCCCUGUCCCUUUUCUGUUCAGCAGCAGCCUGGGAAGAGACCCUCAAAGUACCUGUGGGUAUCCUCCACCCUCCCUCCAGGGUAGGUGUGAGCUGGCCCCUGGCAGGCAGGUAUCCCCUCCACUGGGAAAGAGGGGGGAAAGAGUGUGGAACCUUGGAACCCCUCCUCCAGAGGUUAGAAGGUUAGAGAGCCUGGACAGGUGCAGUAACUCAUACAGUUGCAACCCAGUUCAAGACCUUCAGGGGUUCUUAGUGUGGCACUGCAGACCACAGUUAAUUCCGUAGUGUUUUUAGUUAAUUAGUUAAUCAAUUAAUUAAUUUAACGUGUCAGGGCUAAAGUAUUUCAA
RNAcentral lists this long non-coding RNA (978 nucleotides) under Rattus norvegicus (Norway rat). RNAcentral describes it as "long non-coding RNA NONRATT023928". The record is from RNAcentral. Lineage: Eukaryota; Metazoa; Chordata; Mammalia; Rodentia; Muridae.